UGAGAGUUCGGCGCCGAAACACGUGUCUCGGGCAUUGCGGUUCGUGUGAUAUUAGGGCCCUGCGGGACUGGUGUCUGCAGGGCCUUCGAAGAUGAUGGAGGAGCACUGGCUGCUUCCACCACGAGGGCGGGAGGCGUCACUACGGGACCACUGUGCGUGGGCUCGCAGGACUCCUCGGGCCUCUGUGACGAUGCCUCCACGUUCGUCACAUCGGCAUAAGUACGUUGCGAAAGCUGAAUGGCACCGACAGAGACAUAGGUAGCCAGCAGAGCACACGGAGGUCCUCAUCUGGCACCACUGGGAAGGCACGGCAUUGCACAAGAAAGGAACCUUCUUUGAACUCGUAAGAGCUGGCGCUGGUGACUGGUCCCAGGACCUUCCGCACAAGCCUUGUUUCCUAGCAAGUACGCAGGUGCCUGCCUCUCAUGUACCUCACAAUGGCCCUCACAAAGGCACUCUUCACUUACAUGAAUAAAU
Molecule: long non-coding RNA, 477 nt
Organism: Dermacentor andersoni
Lineage: Eukaryota; Metazoa; Arthropoda; Arachnida; Ixodida; Ixodidae
Source: RefSeq, a predicted model, not a curated record